Molecule: small nucleolar RNA, 134 nt
Organism: Cebus imitator (Panamanian white-faced capuchin)
Lineage: Eukaryota; Metazoa; Chordata; Mammalia; Primates; Cebidae
Source: Ensembl
UAGGCCCUGGAUCAAGAUUAGCGGUUUGCUAUAGCUAUUGGUUUCAAACAGGGGUCAAGAGUGAUGUCUUCCUGUGGGCUGUUCGUUGCUCGGUAUCCCAGUGUGAGUGGCCAAUUUAGUUGGAAGCAACAUGG